GACGAACGCUGGCGGCGUGCUUAACACAUGCAAGUCGAACGGAAAGGCCCCUUUGGGGGUACUCGAGUGGCGAACGGGUGAGUAACACGUGAGUAACCUGCCCUUGACUUCGGGAUAACUUCAGGAAACUGGGGCUAAUACCGGAUAGGAAUCCUUGCUGCAUGGUGGGGGUUGGAAAGCUUCGGCGGUUUUGGAUGGACUCGCGGCUUAUCAGCUUGUUGGUGGGGGAGUGGCUUACCAAGGCUUUGACGGGUAGCCGGCCUGAGAGGGCGACCGGCCACAUUGGGACUGAGAUACGGCCCAGACUCCUACGGGAGGCAGCAGGGGGGAAUAUUGCACAAUGGGCGGAAGCCUGAUGCAGCAACGCCGCGGGCGGGAUGACGGGCUUCGGGUUGUAAACCGCUUUCAGCAGGUGCGAAGCUUGUGGUGACGGUACCUGCAGAAGAAGCACCGGCUAACUACGUG
This 465-nucleotide ribosomal RNA is filed under the name uncultured bacterium. RNAcentral's name for it is "partial 16S ribosomal RNA". It matches the Rfam family "Bacterial small subunit ribosomal RNA", at positions 28 to 507 of the family's 1533-position model. The record is from RNAcentral.